AGAGUUUGAUUAUGGCUCAGGAUGAACGCUGGCGGCGUGCCUAACACAUGCAAGUCGAACGAAGCAUUUUCUUGGAGAUUCGUCGAAGAGGGAUUUGACUUAGUGGCGGACGGGUGAGUAAUGUAUGAGCAACCUGCCUUUCAGAGGGGGACAACAGUUGGAAACGACUGCUAAUACCGCAUAAUGUAUCGAGGGGGCAUCCUCUUGAUACCAAAGGAGCAAUCCGCUGAAAGAUGGGCUCAUAUCUGAUUAGUUAGUUGGUGGGGUAACGGCCUACCAAGACUGCGAUCAGUAGCCGGACUGAGAGGUUGAACGGCCACAUUGGGACUGAGAUACGGCCCAGACUCCUACGGGAGGCAGCAGUGGGGAAUAUUGGGCAAUGGGCGAAAAAGCCUGACCCAGCAACGCCGCGUGAAGGAAGAAGGUCUUCGGAUUGUAAACUUCUUUGACGAGGGACGAUAGUGACGGUACCUCGAAAACAAGCCACGGCUAACUACGUGCCAGCCGCGGC
This 511-nucleotide ribosomal RNA is filed under the name uncultured bacterium. RNAcentral describes it as "bacterial SSU rRNA". It matches the Rfam family "Bacterial small subunit ribosomal RNA", at positions 8 to 518 of the family's 1533-position model. The record is from RNAcentral.